UAUGUGAUCGUCUCUCGCAUAUCAAUAAGCGGAGGAAAAGAAACUAACAAGGAUUCCCCUAGUAACGGCGAGUGAAGCGGGAAGAGCUCAAAUUUGAAAUCUUAAAGGGUUUCCCUUUACGAAUUGUAGUUUAAAGAAGUGUUUUCUGUUGAGGUUUUGGUAAAAGUUCUUUGGAAUAGGACAUCAUAGAGGGUGAGAAUCCCGUAUUUGACCUUUACUUUCAACUUUGUGAUACACUUUCAAAGAGUCGGAUUGUUUGGGAAUGCAGUCCAAAAUGGGUGGUAAAUUUCAUCUAAAGCUAAAUAUUGGCGAGAGACCGAUAGCGAACAAGUACCGUGAGGGAAAGAUGAAAAGAACUUUGAAAAGAGAGUUAAACAGUACGUGAAAUUGUCAAAAGGGAAGCGUUUGACACCAGUGUUGUUUUUCUGAAAAUCAAUUAGAGAACUGUUUAUGCUAAGUUGUUUAGACUUUAUCAGCUAACUGUUUAGUUUUGAGCUUUUCUUUAAUGCACUUUUCAGGUUAACAAGUCAACAUCAAUUUCUUUUGCUGUAAAAAAGCUUGAGGAAGGUGGCUUGAGAUUCGUCUUAAGUGUUUAUAGCCUCUUGCCUAUGCAGUCGGAGAGAUUGAGGUCUGCAGCGUAGAUCCUUCGGGGCUAAAUGCAUUUGUGCUAAGUUAUAGCAUUUUAUAGACAACUUGUUGACUAUGAUUUGUCUUGUAGCUUACUCGCUUAUGUUAUUUUACCUACGCUUAGGAUGUUGACACACGCGCGUGCUCG
This 775-nucleotide ribosomal RNA is filed under the name uncultured Neocallimastigales. RNAcentral describes it as "partial large subunit ribosomal RNA". It matches the Rfam family "Eukaryotic large subunit ribosomal RNA", at positions 24 to 646 of the family's 3401-position model. Lineage: Eukaryota; Fungi; Neocallimastigomycota; Neocallimastigomycetes; Neocallimastigales. The record is from RNAcentral.